RNAcentral lists this transfer RNA (69 nucleotides) under Gobiobotia intermedia. RNAcentral describes it as "tRNA-Arg". It matches the Rfam family "tRNA". From Rfam's summary of the family: Transfer RNA (tRNA) molecules are approximately 80 nucleotides in length. The record is from RNAcentral. Lineage: Eukaryota; Metazoa; Chordata; Actinopteri; Cypriniformes; Gobionidae.
AGGGAGUUAGUCCAAGAAAGACCUCUGAUUUCGGCUCAGAAGAUUGUGGUUAAAGUCCACAACCCCCUU